Molecule: ribosomal RNA, 379 nt
Filed under: Pinnularia sp. 9 CS-2011
Lineage: Eukaryota; Bacillariophyta; Bacillariophyceae; Sellaphorales; Pinnulariaceae
Description: eukaryotic LSU rRNA
Rfam family: Eukaryotic large subunit ribosomal RNA
Source: RNAcentral
AAGGGCGACUGAAGCGUCAAUAGUUCACCAUGUGAAUCUGCAGUGCCGAAUUGUGGUCUGGAGAUUCUUGCAUUUGGGCCAAGUCCCUUGGAACGGGGCAGCUAAGAGGGUGAGACUCCCAUCUGUCUGGCUUGAUCAUGGAGUCGAGUUGUUUGGGAUUUCAGCUCCAAGGGGGUGGUAAAUUCCAUCGAAAGCUAAAUAUUGGUAGAAGACCGAUAGCAAACAAGUACCGUGAGGGAAAGAUGCAAAGAACUUUGAAAAGAGAGUUAAAGAGUACCUGAAAUUGCUGAAAAGGAAGCGAAGGAAACCAGUGAUGUUGAGCCAUAUUUCCCUGUUCGCUUGCGGUUGGGGCGCUGUGGCCAGCAUAGUCCACAUUGAU